Molecule: long non-coding RNA, 429 nt
Organism: Spea bombifrons (plains spadefoot toad)
Lineage: Eukaryota; Metazoa; Chordata; Amphibia; Anura; Pelobatidae
Exons: 2
Source: RefSeq, a predicted model, not a curated record
CUGGCAUACUAAAUGCCCAUGGGGUGUCUACUUUUAAAAAAUUUAUGAUUUGAUGGGGUAAAUUGAAUUGGCCGGGUUCAACAAUGUCCCAAUUAACACAGGGGGAAGGAUGGCCACACAUCUAAUUUCCAAUUAGAAAAAUGCACAUGUACCAAAUGUGGCCUUUUAGUUCCCCCAAAAAAUGACAAACCCAUGCAUGUGGGGUAUCACUGCACUCAGGAGAUGUUGCUGAACACAUAUUGGGGUGUUUUAUGAUAGUGACAUAUACGAGAACUUUUUAAUUCAUACCUGAAGUAAAAUGUGUGUGACAAAACAAAUGCAAAAAAAUGACUACCACAAAGUUUGACAAAGACUGGUGGUAGAUAUGGUGCAUGGAAAGAGUUAAAAUACUAGAAUUUGAAAUACCCUGGGGUGUCUAGUUUUCAAAAA